RNAcentral lists this non-coding RNA (87 nucleotides) under Desulfobacteraceae bacterium 4572_35.1. Lineage: Bacteria; Pseudomonadati; Thermodesulfobacteriota; Desulfobacteria; Desulfobacterales; Desulfobacteraceae. The record is from RNAcentral.
AUGCGAAACCGCGAUCAUUUUGCCGCCAUUGGCAAGGUGAUCGCGGUCAUCAGGGUGCGGCGAUCCUGAUCUGAUGAGCAGCCAAGA